UGCGGCGAUCCCGGAGAGGCAGUCCUUUAACUUGCAUCAGCACUGCGGUUUAAGGCGCCACUGGUUUUCUUUCGCCUGUCCAGUUCUACCUUGGCCUGUGUAGCCACCUUAGACCUGCGGAAUCUGUGCCGCUGCUCCCUCUACCUUCUCUUUCGGCGGCCAGCACUAAGAAUUCGUGCUACGACGCUCGAUUCAGCCAGAAGGUGGCACCAAGUGUGAUCAGAAGCCAUACCACUGGUGAAGAGGUAUAUUGAACCCUGCCUGGCCCAGUGAGGUUACUAGAGAAUUGGGAGAGGCUUAGAUCAAUGUCCUGCGCAUGGUUAUCUACUCAUUGUGAAGUCUUGAAAAUCACCUGGGAUGCCUGUUAAAAAUGCAGAUUCCUGGGCAGCCAGAACCUUGUCAUUGGUCAAGAGCAACACUAAGACCUACCUGUCACUUAUGUUGAGGCUUCUUGCCCAGUGGGUUCAUCAGCAAGCCAGAAUGAAACGCCAUUGCCAUGGAUGUCCUUGUGAUGCAGUUGGGAAUUCUUGAUAAUAAAGCUGAGGAUCAGAGAGGUGGUGUCCCCAGCAUGCCACAGGGAGCCAGUGGUGGAACUGUAUGUGCCACACUCCAAAGAUCUUAACUACCUUACUGUACUUGAAGCACUACAAUGUGACGAGCAUAUUCUUCGCCAUUGGGAUAUCCUGUCUCCUCAUGGGGCCCUUGUCACUGUCUUCUUCCAGGACAGGGGCAUGAAAUGAAGUCUCACUCAGCCUACCACAUUAAUAGGGGUUUACUGUACGUAAACAUGUGGAACCUAGUGGAAGAUGGGGAUUUAGUGGGACUCUGAAUGAACAAUAUUGAAUACAGGAACUAGAUUGAAGCAGCCCUGAGUCACAGAAGCUGCAAUGAAUUCUCUCAUGGCCCUGAAGUAUGGUUUGUUCCCAUGGAGAAGAACCUAACAGAAGAUUGAUAGCGUGGACAUGUUGUUUCUGGCAUCAGGGAUGAGGGAUAAUUAACAUAUAGUGUUGUAUUAGUUUCAAGUGUACCAUACAGGGAUUCAGCAACUCCAUAUACUUAUUACUCAGUGUUCAACUCAGUGUUCAUCAAGGAGACCUUUAGAAACAACUUGUCAAGUCCUCACCAUGAAUACCAUUGGAAUUGCAGUUGGAAUGGCAUUGAAUGCGUAGAUUUAAUUUUUGGAGAGCUAUCAUCUUUAUAAUCUCCUCAUACAUGAAUGUGAAGUGCUUCCUCCAUCCUGUAAGCUUCUGGGAACUCAGUGCCCAUUGUAUACAGGAUAUGUACCCAUUGAAGACCUUCAUGCCCUCCAAUAUAAGGCUGUGUUCUCACUACAGAAGUUUGGAAUCAGAGAGUUUCUUCUCUCUGCUGCCUUUUGAGCUGCGGCACUAUGCUGGGAGAUGGGACUAUGGAGACGAAUUUAGGCACAGUCCCUGCCCUCAGGUGUUCUCAGUCUAGUGAGAGGGUUCGACGUGUACACAAAUAAUUACAACAGUAUGGUAUGCUCUACAAUGGAGGUAUGUACAAGAUACUAUGGGGUUUAGAAGAGAAAUCAUUUGAUUGAGUAUAGAGAUGCCAGAGGUUGGAGGAACUGAUGCUUAAGUGGCUUAAAAGAAGUAACGCUAGACUAGGAAGAAGACAGGGGAGUACCUGUUAAGCAAAGGCGUGGACAUUGGAGAUAGAAUGAUGACAUGGGGGAACUACAAGUAGUUCCUAAAAUUCAGACAUGUGGGCUGACAAUAGGUCCUUAUGUAGUAUUCCAUGAAAUAUGGAUUCCAUUUUGAGUGUUUAAGUAGGAGAUGCUUUUGAUGGUCACUCUGGCAGUACUCUAGAGUGUGUUCUAGAAGAUACUCAGAUCUGGACAGGGAGAUUAGUUAGUAGGUAAGAUGAUAAAUUACCUAAGGCCAGAAGGAGUGGGAGUGGAGGAAUGGAGCUAACUUCUUAAUGAGAGGCUGUACAAACAUGGACAUAAUAGAACAUGGGAAAAUUAAUAGAGGGGGCAAUUAAGCCUCUCAGACUUUGGCAAAUGUGCAAUCACCUGUCUCCAUCCGUGGCCUUGAUGAGAAAUCCCCUCAUGUUUUCUGGAAGAGCAUUGCUGCUGUUUUCUUUUGAACCAGGGCUUGACUGUACUGUUUUUUGCAAGUUUCUUUUUGGGAUGGCAGCUGUGUAUGAAAUGUUGAGUCUCAGAAAGACAUCUGAACAGCUGCAGACCUCUCAUAGGAUUACUUAGUUCCUGAUCCUUCUCACCAGUAGCAAUUCUCCCUCACUGCCACCUGUCACCCAAAGUCAGAGUGGAGGCUCUCAUCUCUCAGACCCCCUGAGGGAAGAGACAGCGCUUGUUGUCACUGUCUCAGUUCUGUUUUGCUUAGGAAUUUUAGUGUUUAUGGCUACCUCACAGUAAAAUACAUUCAGUAAUCAAAAAUCUAUACAUGCACUAUUCAUUUCCUCUUUUUUCAAAGCAAUAGGAACGUGUCCUUUGGAAAAUUCUCCACCUAGGGCUCAGAGGAGUGACCUUGGGAAUUCAGGGAAUGGAUCUCUGUGACUAGAACAAUUAACAGGAAAUUAUAUUUAAUUAGACCUUAGGUAUUUUCAGUGAACCCUGUGUAAGUAGCCAUCUAGAGGACGGUAAGGGGAAGAAGGGAUGGGAAAGGGAGCUCUGAGUAGGACAGCAAAGCAGAAUAGUAAAAGUUUGGGCCUGGGGACUAAAUAGCCUAGGCUCAGAUCUGCUCUUACAUUCACCAGUGUGGUGUCAAGCAUGGUUUUUCACCUCUCUGGUACUUGACUUUCUCUUAUGUAAAAUAGGGGUAAUAAUCUUUUUGGCAAUGAUUUGGGGAGGGGGUGAUCUCAAUGAUUUGUAAGGAUUUAAUGGAAUUGUUCGUGUAAAUUGCUUGGAAUGAGUCUGAAGUAUGCUAAAUACUGUAUCAACUGUAAUUGCUGCUGCUGCUGAUGUUGACCAUGAAAAGGAUUAAAAGAAGAUAGUUAACAAGAGGUGCUUAUUAUAUUUUACAUUGUCAAUGAGACUCUUGGGGUUCGAGAAAGAAAGGAUAACAAACUGAUGUGAAGGUUUUCAAUGGUGUGCUAGUAUGAAGUCAAUUCGUCAAUUCUCUGCCUUCUUUUUUCUUCUCUGCCAAAUAGGUUGGGAAGCCAGAUGAAGUUUGUCCAUGCCCUGAUCACUAAUCUAUUGCCUUUGCUCUUAUUUCCAAAUAGAAACCUGUUGAAAAGUUGUGUUACACCUGAAUAAAGGUUAUCCUAAAAAUGUAGAAAAAAUGCUUUGGAGUUGGUCAAAUACUGGACUUGAAACCUGACUCAACUGCUUUACUAGCUGUGUGAUCUAAGGCAUGUUACUACUUAACCUCAUUGAACCUCAGUUGCUUCAUCUAAUAUCAUAAUUAAUUUGCAGGGUUUCUCUGAGGAUAUUUGUCAAGUGUAUGUCAUAAGCACUCUAUAAAUCAUAGCUAUCAUUGUUAGUUCUUGGGCUACUCACCAUGUGACAGAGACAACAGCACGCCCUGGUGGCUGGGAGGACUGCAUGGAUCCAUCCUCAACUUGGAGUUGUGCUCUUCUGAAGAAAUCCUACUCGGAUGGAUAUAAUACAACCUGCUAAGUGUCCUAGCACUUAUCAGGUUGUAUUAUCAUUGUCCGUGUCUAUGGCUCUCGUCUACCAGACUCUAAAUUCCUUACAGGCAAGGACAGUGCCUUAUUCAUCUUUGUAUUCGGUGCCUAAUCCCGUGCACAUUGUAGGCCUCAUUAAAUGUUUGUUGAAUGAAAAACUGAAUCAUCAACAGACAUUAAUUGGGCGCCUGCUCUGUGAUCUCCAUGGGCUCAGCAUUUUCCCGCCAGUUGCCUACAACGUCCAAGCUGUCUUCAAUAUGCUUUCUCCUGAAGCUUACUCCUAUCUUCUAAUCCUUUUGCUGAGGACUUUUCUGUGUAGUGCAAGGAAAGCAAAUAUAUUUACUUCAUCUCAAGUACCAUCUCCAACCGAUUGAGAGUACCUGCCUUGAUUGUGUUUAUAAAAAGGAUUCUGAAGCCAGGUCUCAGUUCAGUGUGAAAGAGCAUUAUGACUAAUCAGCAGUGUUUGCCAAGGGUGGGGGAGGGGGGCAUAACAGCACAAGGGCCAUAUCUGUGUCUUAUUUGAUACUAUGUUUUCCAUGAAAUACUCUGUUUCUAUGCCUGCAUUUUAGUCUUGGCUACUUGCAGAUGUUGCAUGGCUGCCGCUGCCGCUGCCCCUACUACAGUUGCUGCUGGUUGCUCCUUGGGUAGGACCAAAGUGAUCAUUGAUCAGAAACUUCAUCCUCACAGUCUGGGGUUUGCUCCUGUGGCUGGUAUUCACAGUUUCCCCUUUCAACUUUACCUCAGCUAUCCCCUUACCUACCACACUGACAGGUAGGCCUCCCCUUUCCGUUCACCACCCAAAAGGCUCAUAUUUCUUUUCUUAUUUCGUAUGAUUAAUUGUUCUUGUUCCAUGAGAAGCCUUCUUUCUGUUAGAAGAUGUGACAACUAGAAUACAAGUUAAACGAUUCCAUCAGGGCGCUACAGUGAGUCAUAUAAGCUUCCCCUUUACUGUGGGAAAAAAUUGCAGACUUUGGGGCAGGAAGAACUGAGAAGGGAUGUGCGUUGUAGAUGUGGGAGAGGAAGACGAUAGCAGAUGGAAUAAGAUCCUGGGAAACGAUGUAGGUUGGGAGGGUGAAACCUGUGGCUCUAAAAUAGGGAUGGAGGGUUGAUAGCCUUGGUUGAAAGGAGUUUACCUCCUCACUGGAGCGUAGGGAUGGGAGUCAGGAAGAGUAGCUGAGAGGGUUGUUGAAGAUUUGUAAUUGCUGAGGUGAGUGAUGGAGAGGAAGCUGACCCGGGACAGGAUUAUGGAGACAAACCAAAGUCUAAGGACUAUUCGGGCCAAAAGGCUGGAGUGGGGCCUUUUGGUAUGUUAAAGUGAGAUACUAGCAUAUUAAAUGGUAUAUGAUACAUUCAGUUAAAGUGAGAAGCCAGUUUGAAAUGUGAUUAGAAACUCAGGAAAUUAUAAAGUGGUCUUAGGCCACUGUCACAAGUAAAUUUGAUUGCCUGGGACCAACCUUUAUUGACUGAGGAGUGGACAGCUAGCAAGAGAAGGGUUACACAGAAGUGAAUUUGGAAAUCCAGACUAUGUGUGGAAGGCAGUUAGGUCAGAAUUGAGCUCAAAAGUCUGAAUACAAAGAGGACUUGGUGUGAUCAAGAUGGGUGUGGAAUAGUUGGAAAAUUGCAAUAAUAGGACCUGUAAUCAGAGUAGAUUUUUAGAGAUUUCAAAACUGGAGUGGUCAAGAUACUUGUGAAACUGGGAUGUCAGAUGGUCAGCUACAUAAAUACUGAAGUGAGCCAGGAUUAUAGCAGAAGCCAGACUGGGAACAAACAUUGGGGGCCAGAUAGAAUAGGCUUUGGUGCCUGAGGAAUGGUUAGAGGUUGGCUCAUGGCAGCGGUGCAGGUGCAAAAGAGGAAAGGAUGUGGCGGGAUAGUAGUAGGAGCCGCAAAAGAGUGGCAAGGAUUAUUAGAAGUUACAAAAAAAAUUUAAUUUGCACAUUGCACUGUGGUGUUAGCUUGCAGAACGCCCAGCUAAAACGAUCCCCUCAUUUACUGAGCUCCUGCUCUCUCCCUGGCACCUUGCUCUGUACUCUCCAUUUACCCCCUUUGGGUCUAUCACAUACCAGGUGUGAGAGAAUGAGCAGCGGCCCCAAGCAAGGACAGCUAGGGUAGCUGCUGGCCCUCAGAACUGAUGGAAUGCUGUGACCACCUCAGCAGACUGGGCAGCUUGAAGUGGCAUAAAAAGAUUUCCUUGGGAUCAAAAUUUUCCCUUGACAUUGACCUAACUUUAUUACAUGGUACAAGCUUGUGUUGGCUGUUCCAUAAUGUACUCUGGCUUCCAAGCCUCUGAGUUGGGGAGUAUGCUGGUACUGUCCUUUAAAAAACAAAAACAGGCACAACACUUGAAAAAACACACAUAUUGAUUAAUUCUAAAAUAAGACACUCUGGUUAUCUAUUUGAGCUUUUAAGAUAAAGGAUAGAUCAAGGAAAACUCACAUUGAUGGGUGAAUAAAAAAACCACUUUGGAAAACCACUCUGAGGUCAGGAUUGUCCAGUUUAGUGGACUUACUAUAGAUAACCACUGUGCGGUCGGGAAGGAGGGCUAGAAAUUGAGGCAGAAAAUGUCCCUUAGGACCCAGAAGGUCAAGUUUAGGAGAAGAGAGUCUCUCUGUGAACCCUGUGACAUUGCAUGUAGUCAUUUUUCUUCAGUUACAGUCUUCACAUGAGUUAUGAAAUUUCAGUGAAGGUUUAGAGCCACUGUUAUAGAGAGACCAGGCCCUCAGCUCAUCCCCUUCUUUGGGGGCUGCUUUAUAUUUAUUCCUCAGGAGGAUCUGGUAGAAGACUUCGUGGGAGGAGAAGAAGAGGCAAGAACCGGACAAGGACUACAGCCUGUCUUCAUCUCAACUUCACAAAGCAUGAUUCGGCAGAGGGAUCAUCCUCUUGAGACUCUCCAGACCACAGGUUGCUCUUUUCAGUUGCAUGCUUAGCCCUCUCAGCUAUUUUCUCUGCUCAGAAAUUGUAUAUGUGCAUAUACGAACUAUCACUUCCAUAAAGAGUACUCCACAUUCCCAGGGGAAAAAAAAUCCCUAAAAUAAGGUGUAAGGCAGGCAGUUAGCUGACUUGAAAGUAACCCCCAUCCCUGCACUUCAUAUUACUUCUUUUUCCUUCUGCUCCUUGACUAAGAUACCACUGAUGACAGCAAACCAAAGCCAUACUCUCUUCUCCCACUGGCUUUCUGGCCUGCGUGAAUGCUGUUAGAAGUCACUCUUUCAUUAGCACGUCCUUCCCAUUUCUUAAGACCCAGAGAGUCAUGAAUGCUAGAGUUGGGGUCGAAUUUGCCCUACUUGGCCUCUGUGGUUGGGGAAUACGAAUGUUAAUCAGCCUCAUACCCACUCGCUCCCGAUUUCAUGACAGAUGCUAGAGAAGCUGUAGCCAAGGCUGGCAACCCUGUAGACCCCAGCCCCAGGACUUAUUCGAUGUCUCAGCUGGUUACAGAAUACUGGUAGGAGGGCUUGCCUUAACCCAGCCCCCCUUAUGAGUUCGUCAUCAGAAAUCAGGACUUGUCUUAGGGUAUAUGUUACAUAAGGACAGAUACCUCAGGGAUUAAUAGUAAACAAGAUCAGGAGUCCAGGUUACCUUUUCUCUCUUUUGGGAAUGGGUGGCAUAGGGUAAGUGGAAAGUCUUGUGCCUUUCAAAUAUAUUCCCAGUGAUUCCUCAGGAUACCCUGGGUCACACCAUCUGCUAUCUUAUCCCAGGUCUUGCCUUCCUUCAGAGUUUUUCUAGUGCUCUUCUUGGCUCUCACUAACCACCUUUUAUUCCCUGCCCAACCCUGUUGGGUUUCAGCAGGUGUUUUGUUUUGUUCUUUUCCUUUUCCCUUCCUCAGGCCACCUGUGACAGUCGUCACCUGGGAGGAGCCUUGUUGUGAAUGAGUGAAUGAAGCCUCAGUGAGUGAGUGGAGUGGCACUCAUGUUUUUCUCUGAAUAUAAGGAGAGGGAAGGAGGCCAUGAAAAUCCCAUAAUGGAGUAACAAAAAUUUGACAUUUUAGUAGAUACUGGACCUAGAAGCCUACAUGAAUGAAGGAAACAAACCUGAGAGAUCUUGGAUGUGAGUGAGUGAAGAUAGGAGUGAAUGCCUUAUUACCCUGAGUAAUGGAGGAAAAGGGGAAAAAAGUGUGAGGGAAGUCAAAAUCCUUUAUGUCCCUGGAGGAGGCCCUGAAACUAGCUUCAUAACCCAGUGACUUUUUAAGGUGGAUUAAAGAUGAGUUGUUGCACCGCACUACUUCCGUUGCUGUUUGUGUUGAGAGUUGCUGUUCCAAGCCGGUUUCUCAGGUACAGCUGCCUUUGUGGAGACUCCUCUUGACCCCUAUUGAAAAACAGCCCAGAACGAGGUUUGCAACUUAGAACUCUCUGGAUCAAUGACAGAGUUUUAAAGGGGUUGAGGACAGAGGAGGUAGCACAAGUAAUUCCAAAUAGCUCAGGUUUAUAUAUAUAUAUAUAUAGGAUGGAUAGGAUAGAGGCGGAGAGCCCAAUGGUUUUAGGCAACUCCAAACACCCGGUGAGGCAUAAGGAAACAGUACACUGAAAGGUCAGCCCUUCAGCCUAUUAUUUGUCAAUCUCCAGAGCAUGAUAGAAUAUCUAAAAGUUGUAAAAGAUUCUUUCCUAGAAGAGAUUCAGAAGAGGGGAACUUCCGUUAUGUAAUAUGGGCAUUACAGCUUUUAAAGAGUUCCCUACAUAGGUCAUGGAAAUUGUUACUCAUAUCUGCCUGUGGGUGACCAGGCUAGUAUUAACUUUGAGGUUUCAUGCCCUUGGAGAGAUCCUGCCACUCUCUUGCUUUGACAGGUGUUCAUCUGCAGAAUGAGUCCAGUACUUGAAGAAGUAAGAGGACAACAGGCAUCCAGGGGACAACAGUGUGGUCUUCUAAGUGAAGAUGGCAACAGAAAAGAUCAUGGACUUGGCUGGAUUGGGCUGGGCUUAUUUGUUGUUUCAGAAUUUUAAAAAUACUUUUUUUUUCUUGACAGUAAAAGUAACAGAUGAUCAUUGUUGAAAAAUCAAAGGUAUAAAUUAAAAAGUCAAGAACACCUAUAAUCUUAUAACCCAGAAAACAACUCAACAUUUGAGUGUUGCCUUUUGCCCUUUUAAAAAAGAAUGUCUGCAACACAGUUUUUCACAUUUUUAUUUUAAUUUCAGUUAGUAAACAUACAGUGUUCUGUUCAUUUCAGAUGUACAAUUUAAAAACAAAAUUGACAUCAUAUUGCAUAUGUUGUUUUCCAUUUUUCUUCAUUUGAAAAUAACGUGUUUCCAUGUCAUUACAAUUCUUUGAAAACACAGUAUUGGUACAUGGUAUUUUAUAGGGAUCUAACAAAAUUUAGGUAGGUAAUUGAAUGCUGCUGGACAUUUUGCAUAUUACCAAUUUUGCCUAUAAAAUGUAAUAAACGUAUGUUAA
Molecule: long non-coding RNA, 8988 nt
Organism: Lutra lutra (Eurasian river otter)
Lineage: Eukaryota; Metazoa; Chordata; Mammalia; Carnivora; Mustelidae
Exons: 10
Source: RefSeq, a predicted model, not a curated record